Molecule: ribosomal RNA, 863 nt
Filed under: uncultured bacterium
Lineage: Bacteria
Description: bacterial SSU rRNA
Rfam family: Bacterial small subunit ribosomal RNA
Source: RNAcentral
AGAGUUUGAUCAUGGCUCAGGACGAACGCUGGCGGCGUGCCUCAUACAUGCAAGUUGAACGAUGAUUUCUGGUACUUGUAUCAGAAUGAAGAGUAGCGAACGGGUGAAUAACGCGUGGGUAACCUACCUCUUAGCGGGGGACAACUAUUGGAAACGAUAGCUAAUACCGCAUAACAAUGCUUAACACAUGUUAAGGAUUUGAAAGUACCAAUUGGUACACUAGGAGAUGGACCCGCGUUGUAUUAGCUAGUUGGUAGUGUAAUGGACUACCAAGGCGAUGAUACAUAGCCGACCUGAGAGGGUGAUCGGCCACAUUGGGACUGAGACACGGCCCAAACUCCUACGGGAGGCAGCAGUAGGGAAUCUUCGGCAAUGGACGAAAGUCUGACCGAGCAACGCCGCGUGAGUGAAGAAGGUUUUCGGAUCGUAAAACUCUGUUGUUAGAGAAGAACGUUGUGUAGAGUGGAAAAUUACACAAGUGACGGUAUCUAACCAGAAAGGGACGGCUAACUACGUGCCAGCAGCCGCGGUAAUACGUAGGUCCCGAGCGUUGUCCGGAUUUAUUGGGCGUAAAGCGAGCGCAGGUGGUUUAAUAAGUCUGAUGUAAAAGGCAGUGGCUCAACCAUUGUGUGCAUUGGAAACUGUUAGACUUGAGUGCAGUAGAGGAGAGUGGAAUUCCAUGUGUAGCGGUGAAAUGCGUAGAUAUAUGGAGGAACACCGGUGGCGAAAGCGGCUCUCUGGACUGUAACUGACACUGAGGCUCGAAAGCGUGGGUAGCAAACAGGAUUAGAUACCCUGGUAGUCCACGCCGUAAACGAUGAGUGCUAGUUGUUUGGGGCUAUCCAGCCCUAAGUGACGCAGCA